RNAcentral lists this long non-coding RNA (219 nucleotides) under Lathyrus oleraceus (garden pea). RNAcentral's name for it is "Pisum sativum (pea) long non-coding RNA (PSAT_LNC034665)". The record is from RNAcentral. Lineage: Eukaryota; Viridiplantae; Streptophyta; Magnoliopsida; Fabales; Fabaceae.
AAGUUGCACGUAAACUAGCAGCCUAUGCAGCAGCUUGGCAACACUCACCAAAUCUCGAUUCCAGCAGCAACCGCAUUCGGCGUUGGUAACAUUUCAAUUCUAAUUUUUUGUUUAAGAUUAUGUUUUGUUUACGGGAUUAAUUUAUAUUGUAAUUAAAAUUUUCGAUUCAAUUUUGUUUGUUAUUGAUUGUUCUUUUUGUGUUAUUUAAUUUAUGAUACU